AUUGAACGCUGGCGGCAUGCCUUACACAUGCAAGUCGAACGACAGCACGGGUGCUUGCACCUGGUGGCGAGUGGCGAACGGGUGAGUAUUACAUCGGAACGUACCUUAUCGUGGGGGAUAACGCAGCGAAAGCUGUGCUAAUACCGCAUACGCCCUGAGGGGGACAGCGGGGGAUCGCAAGACCUCGCGCGAUUAGAGCGGCCGAUGCCUGAUUAGCUUGUUGGUGGGGUAAAAGCCCACCAAGGCGACGAUCAGUAGCUGGUCUGAGAGGACGAUCAGCCACACUGGGACUGAGACACGGCCCAGACUCCUACGGGAGGCAGCAGUGGGGAAUUUUGGACAAUGGGGGCAACCCUGAUCCAGCAAUGCCGCGUGAGUGAAGAAGGCCUUCGGGUUGUAAAGCUCUUUUGUCAGGGAAGAAACACCGGCUCUAACACAGUCCGGGAAUGACGGUACCUGAAGAAUAAGCACCGGCUAACUACGUGCCAGCCGCCGCUGUAA
This 501-nucleotide ribosomal RNA is filed under the name uncultured bacterium. RNAcentral's name for it is "partial 16S ribosomal RNA". It matches the Rfam family "Bacterial small subunit ribosomal RNA", at positions 30 to 523 of the family's 1533-position model. The record is from RNAcentral.